UAGGUAGGGUGCAAGCGUUAAUCGGAAUUAUUGGUCGUAAAGGGUGCGCUGGCGGUUCUGUAAGUCAGAUGUGAAAUCCCCGGGCUUAACCCGGGAAUUGCGUCUGAAACUACAGGACUAGAGUGUGGCAGAGGGGGGUGGAAUUCCAUGUGUAGCAGUGAAAUGCGUAGAGAUGUGGAAGAACAUCGAUGGCGAAGGCAACCCCCUGGGUUAACACUGACGCUCAUGCACGAAAGCGUGGGGAGCAAACAGGAUUAGAUACCCUGGUAGUCCACGCCCUAAACUAUGUCAACUAGUUGUCGGGCCUUAAUAGGUUUGGUAACGUAGCUAACGCGUGAAGUUGACCGCAUGGGGAGUACGGUCGCAAGAUUAAAACUUAAAUGAAUUGACGG
Molecule: ribosomal RNA, 392 nt
Filed under: uncultured bacterium
Lineage: Bacteria
Description: bacterial SSU rRNA
Rfam family: Bacterial small subunit ribosomal RNA
Source: RNAcentral